CAGCCGCCACGGUAAUACGUAGGUGGCAAGCGUUGACCGGAAUUAUUGGGCGUAAAGGGCUCGCAGGCGGUUUCUUAAGUCUGAUGUGAAGGCCCCCGGCUCAACCGGGGAGGGUCAUUGGAAACUGGGAAACUUGAGUGCAGAGGAGGAGAGUGGAAUUCCACGUGUAGCGGUGAAAUGCGUAGAGAUGUGGAGGAACACCAGUGGCGAAGGCGACUCUCUGGUCUGUAACUGACGCUGAGGAGCGAAAGCGUGGGGAGCGAACAGGAUUAGAUACCCGCGUAGUCCCUGUCUCUUAUAC
RNAcentral lists this ribosomal RNA (301 nucleotides) under uncultured bacterium. RNAcentral's name for it is "partial 16S ribosomal RNA". It matches the Rfam family "Bacterial small subunit ribosomal RNA", at positions 509 to 807 of the family's 1533-position model. The record is from RNAcentral.